This is a long non-coding RNA of Mauremys mutica (yellowpond turtle), 819 nucleotides long. RefSeq lists it as uncharacterized. Lineage: Eukaryota; Metazoa; Chordata; Testudines; Geoemydidae. The record is from RefSeq and is a predicted model, not a curated record. The transcript is spliced from 4 exons.
UUCUUUCAGCAAGUAAGGCAGGAGAUGGAUUAUUUGAGGGUAACUCCUGACAAGGAUUCAGGUGUCACACCCAGCUGGGGGCAGCUGAGCCUAAUCAGGUGAUGCAAAGAGAAGCUGGGUUAGGCCUAGAGAAGCCAGAGUGUUGGGAUCUUGCUGACUAUGCUCCAGGGGUGGGAGCUUUGUUUGUGUGUUUGAUUUAGCUCUAGAAAUGGAAUGCAACUAGCAGAAACUUGCCAAGUUUGUGUUAUGCGGGUAAAAGAAAACUUCUGAAGCAAGCCCCAGUAACAGGCUUUUGUCUUUACCCUGGAGCCUCCUAUGAUCUCUCUCUAGACUCCUCCCUGGCCUUGCAUGCUGCCUUUCUGCCAACAAAGAAUUGGAAAACCUCUUAUUCAAACACCACACUAUAAAUUCCAGCUGCCUAAAAUGGUGUCAUUCUUAUUCAGCUGCACCAGCGAGAUGUUUUGUAGUUGGAAUUCCGCAUUCACUUCCAUCUGUCAGACUGAACGGGCUGCUGAAGUGUAUGCUAGAGCUGUGAUGGACACCUGCGGAAAGGACAUCCAUGUGAUCCUGUCAGUAGAGAUCAUAGCUGAUGCACAGCUGUGAAAGCUUGACGAUUCUACCCAGCUAGCAAAUUCCAUUUGUAUGGCCAUUAACCUGGAAGACAGCUGGAUCCCUGUGAAAGCCAAAUGGAUUUGUGAUGAACGGAGAUUUUCGAAGAGUUCAAGGAAUGUUGUACAGAAUACACAGUAGCUUAUCUGCAGGAUUUACCCUGGGCUGCUACUAAUCAUCUACACUGGGUAUUAAACCAAUGGAUUCUGA